UACGUAGGGCGCAAGCGUUAUCCGGAAUUAUUGGGCGUAAAGAGCUCGUAGGCGGUUUGUCGCGUCUGCCGUGAAAGUCCGGGGCUCAACUCCGGAUCUGCGGUGGGUACGGGGCAGACUAGAGUGAUGUAGGGGGAGACUGGAAUUCCUGGUGUAGCGGUGAAAUGCGCAGAUAUCAGGAGGAACACCGAUGGCGAAGGCAGGUCUCUGGGCAUUAACUGACGCUGAGACGCGAAAGCGUGGGGAGCAAACAGG
Molecule: ribosomal RNA, 255 nt
Filed under: uncultured bacterium
Lineage: Bacteria
Description: partial 16S ribosomal RNA
Rfam family: Bacterial small subunit ribosomal RNA
Source: RNAcentral